RNAcentral lists this ribosomal RNA (430 nucleotides) under uncultured Gammaproteobacteria bacterium. RNAcentral's name for it is "bacterial SSU rRNA". It matches the Rfam family "Bacterial small subunit ribosomal RNA", at positions 355 to 776 of the family's 1533-position model. The record is from RNAcentral. Lineage: Bacteria; Pseudomonadati; Pseudomonadota; Gammaproteobacteria.
UGGGGAAUAUUGGACAAUGGGGGAAACCCUGAUCCAGCGAUGCCGCGUGUGUGAAGAAGGCCUGCGGGUUGUAAAGCACUUUCAGUGGGGAGGAUGAUAUUGUUCGCUAAUAUCGAACAGUAUUGACGUUACCCACAGAAGAAGCACCGGCUAACUCCGUGCCAGCAGCCGCGGUAAUACGGAGGGUGCAAGCGUUAAUCGGAAUCACUGGGCGUAAAGCGCGCGUAGGUGGUUUGAUAAGUAGACUGUGAAAUCCCCGGGCUUAACCUGGGAACUGCAGUCUAAACUGUCUCACUCGAGAUCAGUAGAGGGAGGUGGAAUUCCUGGUGUAGCGGUGAAAUGCGUAGAUAUCAGGAAGAACACCGGUGGCGAAGGCGACCUCCUGGACUGCAUCUGACACUGAGGUGCGAAAGCGUGGGGAGCGAACAGG